Molecule: long non-coding RNA, 415 nt
Organism: Penaeus monodon (black tiger shrimp)
Lineage: Eukaryota; Metazoa; Arthropoda; Malacostraca; Decapoda; Penaeidae
Exons: 3
Source: RefSeq, a predicted model, not a curated record
AACACAAGGUGGAAGGGGGCUGGACGAAGGACAACCUCGAAAGUCGUCGCUUUUGGUAACUGAACAACCCUGCCAGCGAGGAACUGAAGACGAGCUCGUGAGGCUGUUAGUCGUUGUGCUGUGACUCGUGUUAUAAGGAGUAGGAGGAAAAUCGUCUCCAUUUUUUAUUAGUAAAAAGCCAUGGAACCGGAAUUUCCUUACGCCCUGAACCCCUUCCCGGAGGAGGUGCAGACGAGGCUUAAGACGAAGUUCCUCGGGUUCAAGGGCGGCCUGGUGGACGCGGAGGGACGCCACGUCAUGCCCACGCACUACGGCCGCUUCGCCAGCCAGUACUUCAACUAUAAGUGAGUUCUGUUGCGCCUUGGGGGACGGUGAAUGUGUUGAUGUUGAUAAAGAUGUUGAUGUUGAUAAAGAU